This 631-nucleotide ribosomal RNA is filed under the name uncultured bacterium. Its description in RNAcentral is "bacterial SSU rRNA". It matches the Rfam family "Bacterial small subunit ribosomal RNA", at positions 93 to 740 of the family's 1533-position model. The record is from RNAcentral.
UAGUGGCGAACGGGUGAGUAACACGUGAGCAACCUGCCUCGAAGACUGGGAUAACCCCGGGAAACCGGAGCUAAUACCGGAUACCCCCACCGGGUCGCAUGGCCUGGUGAGGAAAUGGAUUCCGCUUUGAGAGGGGCUCGCGGCCUAUCAGCUUGAUGGUGGGGUAACGGCCUACCAUGGCACCGACGGGUAGCUGGUCUGAGAGGACGAUCAGCCACACUGGGACUGAGACACGGCCCAGACUCCUACGGGAGGCAGCAGUGGGGAAUCUUGCGCAAUGGGCGAAAGCCUGACGCAGCAACGCCGCGUGUGGGACGAAGGCCUUCUGGGUUGUAAACCACUUUCAGCAGGGACGAUUGUGACGGUACCUGCAGAAGAAGCCCCGGCCAACUACGUGCCAGCAGCCGCGGUAAUACGUAGGGGGCGAGCGUUGUCCGGAAUUAUUGGGCGUAAAGAGCUCGUAGGCGGCUUGGCAAGUCACGUGUGAAAUCUCCAGGCUCAACCUGGCGAUGCCACGUGAUACUGCCAUGGCUUGAGUCCGGUAGGGGACCAUGGAAUUCCUGGUGUAGCGGUGAAAUGCGCAGAUAUCAGGAGGAACACCAGUGGCGAAGGCGGUGGUCUGGGCCGGUAC